UGGAAGCUGGUUUCAGGUGGUGGCUUAGAGUGCUUCAUGUUUUUCAUCUAGCACCAUUUGAAAUCAGUGUUCU
Molecule: non-coding RNA, 73 nt
Organism: Lepisosteus oculatus (spotted gar)
Lineage: Eukaryota; Metazoa; Chordata; Actinopteri; Semionotiformes; Lepisosteidae
Source: Rfam